Molecule: long non-coding RNA, 885 nt
Organism: Carassius auratus (goldfish)
Lineage: Eukaryota; Metazoa; Chordata; Actinopteri; Cypriniformes; Cyprinidae
Exons: 3
Source: RefSeq, a predicted model, not a curated record
GAGGUUUUAUUCAUUAUAAGGUCUUAUAGUGGUGUUGGUUUGAGUAUCGUGAAUAAUGACUAUAUAAUGAAUAUAAUGCAGGUGUUAUACUUUAGUCAAGAUCAUGAUCUUCCUCUGAAGUUGCAUUUGUGGUGAGAGCGUUUUCCAUUUUUGUAUUCUUAGAAUUGAAGCCCUUUGCUCACAGGAUAUAAGAAUCUUUCAUUUCUCAGAAUUGAAUCCCUUUCUGCUGUUUAAUAUGCAUCUUCUCACUAUUUAAAAUCCCCCUGAAGCUCAGACGGCACAACAUCAGCAGAGAUCUCAGAGUUGUGAUGGACAUUUUCUUCUCUUCAGCUCAACACAUGAUGGGAUGUAGAAAUGAAAUCACACAGAGAGAAAACUGCUGGAGCAUAAGAAACCAGAUAGGAAGAACUACAAACAUGGAGGCCAGAAAUGAGACACAAACCAGAGAAACACUAGAGAAAAACAGACGGACACUUGUCAGAUGUGACAGUAUGAAGAUAAUAAAACCAGAAUUCUCAUGUGAUCCAGACAGACCUGUAAACUUUCCUUCUGAUGAAACUUCAUCAUGUUCUGAAGAACACACAACGUCCCUGAGACAACAGCAGCGGCUGAAGACAACACCAUCAUGAUCCCAGACUCCAUCCAUCCACACUACAGUCUGAUCACAUCCUCAGAGACGGAGGAUUACUCUAUAAUAAUCCUGAUUACUGAUCUCUAUGAGAUCAUUAUUCAUUCACUAAUAAACCCCACAUGAUUAAAAUUGGCUGCAUCUAUUAUAAUAGAUUAUAGAACAUUUUAAUUAUUUUGAGAAUAGUUUUUAAAUUAUAAUCUUUCAAAAUAAUUUUGUUCUGGUUCAGUAAGGUGCACUCAGUGGUUGAGUCAGAU